RNAcentral lists this ribosomal RNA (2020 nucleotides) under Lysinibacillus fusiformis. RNAcentral describes it as "23S rRNA. Bacterial LSU". It matches the Rfam family "Bacterial large subunit ribosomal RNA", at positions 904 to 2925 of the family's 2925-position model. RNAcentral also lists the same sequence under 1 other name. The record is from RNAcentral. Lineage: Bacteria; Bacillati; Bacillota; Bacilli; Caryophanales; Bacillaceae.
AGAGCACUGUUUGGACUAGGGGGCCAUCCCGGUUUACCGAAUUCAGACAAACUCCGAAUGCCAGAUAUUUAUACACGGGAGUCAGACUGCGAGUGAUAAGAUCCGUAGUCAAAAGGGAAACAGCCCAGACCACCAGCUAAGGUCCCAAAGUAAUCGUUAAGUGGAAAAGGAUGUGGCGUUGCACAGACAACCAGGAUGUUGGCUUAGAAGCAGCCAUCAUUUAAAGAGUGCGUAAUAGCUCACUGGUCGAGUGACGCUGCGCCGAAAAUGUAUCGGGGCUAAACGAUUCACCGAAGCUGUGGAUUGACAUCUACGAUGUCAGUGGUAGGAGAGCGUUCUAAGUGCGUUGAAGUCAGACCGGAAGGACUGGUGGAGCGCUUAGAAGUGAGAAUGCCGGUAUGAGUAGCGAAAGACGGGUGAGAAUCCCGUCCACCGUAUGACUAAGGUUUCCUGAGGAAGGCUCGUCCGCUCAGGGUUAGUCGGGACCUAAGCCGAGGCCGAUAGGCGUAGGCGAUGGACAACAGGUUGAUAUUCCUGUACCACCUCCUCACCGUUUGAGAAAUGGGGGGACGCAGUAGGAUAGGGUAAGCGCGCUGUUGGUUAUGCGCGUCCAAGCAGUAAGGCGUGUGUGUAGGCAAAUCCGCACACUGUAACGUUGAGCUGUGAUGGCGAGUCCGUAUGGACGAAGUUCCUGAUUUCACACUGCCAAGAAAAGCCUCUAUCGAGGUGAGAGGUGCCCGUACCGCAAACCGACACAGGUAGUCGAGGAGAGAAUCCUAAGGUGUGCGAGAGAACUCUCGUUAAGGAACUCGGCAAAAUGACCCCGUAACUUCGGGAGAAGGGGUGCUCUUGAGCGUGCAAGCGCAUGAGAGCCGCAGUGAAUAGGCCCAGGCGACUGUUUAGCAAAAACACAGGUCUCUGCAAAACCGUAAGGUGACGUAUAGGGGCUGACGCCUGCCCGGUGCUGGAAGGUUAAGAGGAGUGGUUAGCGCAAGCGAAGCUGCGAAUUGAAGCCCCAGUAAACGGCGGCCGUAACUAUAACGGUCCUAAGGUAGCGAAAUUCCUUGUCGGGUAAGUUCCGACCCGCACGAAAGGCGUAACGAUCUGGGCACUGUCUCAACGAGAGACUCGGUGAAAUUAUAGUACCUGUGAAGAUGCAGGUUACCCGCGACAGGACGGAAAGACCCCGUGGAGCUUUACUGUAGCCUGAUAUUGAAUUUUGGUACAACUUGUACAGGAUAGGUAGGAGCCAGAGAUCUCGGAGCGCCAGCUUCGAAGGAGGCGUCGGUGGGAUACUACCCUGGUUGUAUUGAAAUUCUAACCCAUGCCCCUUAGCGGGGCAGGAGACAGUGUCAGGCGGACAGUUUGACUGGGGCGGUCGCCUCCUAAAAGGUAACGGAGGCGCCCAAAGGUUCCCUCAGAAUGGUUGGAAAUCAUUCGUAGAGUGUAAAGGCACAAGGGAGCUUGACUGCGAGACCUACAAGUCGAGCAGGGUCGAAAGACGGGCUUAGUGAUCCGGUGGUUCCGCAUGGAAGGGCCAUCGCUCAACGGAUAAAAGCUACCCCGGGGAUAACAGGCUUAUCUCCCCCAAGAGUCCACAUCGACGGGGAGGUUUGGCACCUCGAUGUCGGCUCAUCGCAUCCUGGGGCUGUAGUCGGUCCCAAGGGUUGGGCUGUUCGCCCAUUAAAGCGGUACGCGAGCUGGGUUCAGAACGUCGUGAGACAGUUCGGUCCCUAUCCGUCGUGGGCGUAGGAAAUUUGAGAGGAGCUGUCCUUAGUACGAGAGGACCGGGAUGGACACACCGCUGGUGUACCAGUUGUCUUGCCAAAGGCAUCGCUGGGUAGCUAUGUGUGGACGGGAUAAGUGCUGAAAGCAUCUAAGCAUGAAGCCCCCCUCAAGAUGAGAUUUCCCAUUACGCAAGUAAGUAAGAUCCCUCAAAGACGAUGAGGUAGAUAGGUUCGAGGUGGAAGUGUGGUGACACAUGGAGCUGACGAAUACUAAUCGAUCGAGGACUUAACCA